CGCGCAGGCGGCCUUUUAAGUCUGAUGUGAAAUCUUGCGGCUCAACCGCAAGCGGUCAUUGGAAACUGGGAGGCUUGAGUACAGAAGAGGAGAGUGGAAUUCCACGUGUAGCGGUGAAAUGCGUAGAUAUGUGGAGGAACACCAGUGGCGAAGGCGACUCUCUGGUCUGUAACUGACGCUGAGGCGCGAAAGCGUGGGGAGCAAACAGGAUUAGAUACCCUGGUAGUCCACGCCGUAAACGAUGAGUGCUAGGUGUUAGGGGUUUCGAUGCCCGUAGUGCCGAAGUUAACACAUUAAGCACUCCGCCUGGGGAGUACGGCCGCAAGGCUGAA
Molecule: ribosomal RNA, 332 nt
Filed under: uncultured Bacillus sp.
Lineage: Bacteria; Bacillati; Bacillota; Bacilli; Caryophanales; Bacillaceae
Description: bacterial SSU rRNA
Rfam family: Bacterial small subunit ribosomal RNA
Source: RNAcentral